UGGUCAAGUUAUUAAGGGUGCAGGGCGGAUGCCUUGGCACUAGGAGCCGAUGAAGGACGUGAUAAGCUGCGAUAAGCUUCGGGGAGUUGCACGUAAACUUUGAUCCGAAGAUUUCCGAAUGAGGAAACUCACUUAGAGUAAUGUCUAAGUAUCAUUAAGUGAAUACAUAGCUUAAUGAGGGGAACUCAGGGAACUGAAACAUCUAAGUACCUGAAGGAAGAGAAAGAAAUUCGAUUCCGUAAGUAGCGGCGAGCGAACGCGGAUUAGCCCAAACCAAUAAAGUUUUCUUUAUUGGGGUUGCGGACAUAUCAUAACGAAGAGGUAUCGUAAUUGAAGAGGUUUGGAAAGACCCACCACAGAAGGUAAUAGUCCUGUAUGUUAAACGAGAAGACUUCAGAUAUGAUCC
Molecule: ribosomal RNA, 406 nt
Filed under: Clostridioides difficile
Lineage: Bacteria; Bacillati; Bacillota; Clostridia; Peptostreptococcales; Peptostreptococcaceae
Description: partial 23S ribosomal RNA
Rfam family: Bacterial large subunit ribosomal RNA
Source: RNAcentral